This 485-nucleotide ribosomal RNA is filed under the name uncultured bacterium. RNAcentral describes it as "partial 16S ribosomal RNA". It matches the Rfam family "Bacterial small subunit ribosomal RNA", at positions 29 to 523 of the family's 1533-position model. The record is from RNAcentral.
AGUGAACGCUGGCGGCGUGCUUAACACAUGCAAGUCGAACGAGAACGGAAUAUAGCUUGCUAUAUUUGUCAGCUAAGUGGCGCACGGGUGAGUAAUGUAUAGAUAACCUGCCCUUAAGAAAGGAAUAACAGUUGGAAACGACUGCUAAUGCCCUAUAUGCCUUUAAUACAUAAGUAUGCAAGGGAAACGCUUUAGUGCUUAAGGAUGGGUCUGUAUGGUAUCAGAUUGUUGGUGAGGUAAUGGCUCACCAAGGCUAUGACGCCUAACUGGUUUGAGAGGAUGAUCAGGCACACUGGAACUGAGACACGGUACAGACUCCUACGGGAGGCAGCAGUGGGGAAUAUUGCACAAUGGACGAAAGUCUGAUGCAGCAACGCCGCGUGGAGGAUGACACAUUUCGGUGCGUAAACUCCUUUUAUAUAGGAAGAUAAUGACGGUACUAUAUGAAUAAGCACCGGCUAACUCCGUGCCAGCCGCCGCAGUAA